GAUGAAGAACGUAGCGAAAUGCGAUACUUGGUGUGAAUUGCAGAAUCCCGUGAACCAUCGAGUUUUUGAACGCAAGUUGCGCCCGAAGCCAUCAGGUUGAGGGCACGUCUGCCUGGGCGUCACAUAUCGUUGCCCUAUGCCUAUUGCAGUGCAAUAGGAAUUUCUAGGGCGAAUGAUGGCUUCCCGUGAGCGUUGUUGCCUCGCGGUUGGUUGAAAAUCGAGUCCUUGGUAGGGUGUGCCAUGGUAGAUGGUGGUCGAGUUAGAACGAUACCGAUCAUGUGCAUGCCCCCCAAAAUAUGGCCUCUAUGACCCACACGCGUCUUUUGACGCUCAUGACGAGACCUCAGGUCAGGCGGGGCUACCCGCUGAAUUUAAGCAUAUCAAUAAGCGGAGGA
RNAcentral lists this unclassified non-coding RNA (395 nucleotides) under soil metagenome. Its description in RNAcentral is "partial contains 5.8S ribosomal RNA, internal transcribed spacer 2, and large subunit ribosomal RNA". The stretch from base 1 to 122 matches the Rfam family "5.8S ribosomal RNA", at positions 35 to 154 of the family's 154-position model. The record is from RNAcentral.